GUCGGGGAGAACACAAGGUUUCACAAAUGGUAUGGUAUAAGGGGCAGUGUCGGGGAGAACACUUCAUGUGACAUGGAUCUCCAAGGACUGGAACUGUGCUGCUGGAAGUGUCUACUGGGGUUAGACUGUCUCUUCCCGUUCUGCCAAAUGUUGGCGUAAGAUGGAAUAAACUUCUUCCCCAUUGCUGUU
Amblyraja radiata (thorny skate) is the source of this 189-nucleotide long non-coding RNA. RefSeq lists it as uncharacterized. The record is from RefSeq and is a predicted model, not a curated record. NCBI's taxonomy places the organism in Eukaryota, Metazoa, Chordata, Chondrichthyes, Rajiformes, Rajidae. The transcript is spliced from 2 exons.